RNAcentral lists this transfer RNA (63 nucleotides) under Rhipicephalus simus. RNAcentral describes it as "tRNA-Tyr". The record is from RNAcentral. Lineage: Eukaryota; Metazoa; Arthropoda; Arachnida; Ixodida; Ixodidae.
GGUAAAAUGGCUGAAUUUUAGGCGAUAAACUGUAAAUUUAUUUAUGAGUUAAUUCUUUUACUA